This 1261-nucleotide long non-coding RNA is filed under the name Betta splendens (Siamese fighting fish). RNAcentral's name for it is "lncRNA (ENSBSLG00000013553.1)". Lineage: Eukaryota; Metazoa; Chordata; Actinopteri; Anabantiformes; Osphronemidae. The record is from RNAcentral.
AAUUUGUUUUACAGCAGUGGUCGAUCGUAAUUUUGACAGGACGCCAGAAAUCAGCAGAUCUACAGCGACGCAUUACAGCAACAUGUUUGUUCCUACGUGUUUACUCUGUGUCUGCAGAACCGCAGUUUGACUUGUUUUGACUGUGCGUGUCAUUGUAACUGAGUGGCUGAGAGCACUUAUUCUAUUCCUACUGUCUUCUGUGUUUCUGAGGUUGGUCAAUAAAUAUGUUUAUAUAUAUAUAUAUAUAUAUAUAUAUAUAUAUAUAUAUAUAUAUAUAUAUAUAUAUAUAUAUAUAUAUAUAUAUAUACACAAUGAGAUUCUGAUCAGACAAACAAAAUAUAUUAAAUUGUAUCAAAAAGUAUUGUUUACACAUUUGCCAUUCAGUGCAUGGAUAAUUGGUGUACUUUUUUCUUUUUAAGAAUAAGUUUAAGAGGACUACAACAGUUUGCUGCAACAGUUCUUCUCCAUGCUGGAUGGUUAUUCUUCAGACCUGAAAAUGGUGUUUGACAAGGAAGGCGGCAUUGAAGGACAAAAGAUUAAGAGCAUCAUGGUUCCCAUAACCCAGAAGAGUACAUCCUUUAAGCCCAGUGUGUGUUCCUCAAUGAAGAUCCUGGCAACCUUGUGAAAGAAUGGAUGGUAAGAAUGUUUUUUUUAUUUUUUUUUAUUUUAUGUAAAUUUAAAAUUUGAUAGUGAUUUAUAUAUGCUUUAAAAGUUGAAGUGUUAUAUAACAUCAUCCACUUUUUUAAUUUUACAUUUCAGAUCGUGGACGCCUUGAAGAAGCCAUGAUAGAGACAAUGCUUGAAGUUUUUGUCAUUCACAAAGAUGCAGAGGCAGAUGAUGACCCUGAAGAUGUAGUCCUCGUUUCAAGUCCUGGAUGAGUUGGGUAGUGUCCCACUUGCUGUGUUGUUGUUUUCUCUUGUAUAUGCUCUCAACGUCAGCUACCCUCCACUAAAAGUUGUUUGAAAUAUUGGCCCAAUGCUGUAUGUACAAUACUGGAUGUUAGCGACAUUUUAUAGCUGCCUUUGAGAUUUGAAAGCUGUUUUAUCGUUUUUAUGAAGCUUAUAAACUAUUCUAACCAGUCUAAAUCCAAUGUGCUUUGUGUCUUCUCCAACCUACACACCAGCUGGGGAUAUAUGUUAGUUUGCAUAAUAGAAAUACUGUUUCAAAGAUAACUUUAUUUGUAUGUAACUUUGAAAAGCUAAUCUUGGCACAAAACAUUUGAUAACUUUACAUUGGUUGUGUUAGUAUAGCAUAAUUUAUU